AUCCGGAUUCACUGGGUUUAAAGGGUGCGUAGGCGGGUUGUUAAGUCAGUGGUGAAAUCUCAGAGCUUAACUCUGAAACUGCCAUUGAUACUAAUGAUCUUGAAUAUUGUGGAGGUAAGCGGAAUAUGUCAUGUAGCGGUGAAAUGCUUAGAUAUGACAUAGAACACCCAUUGCGAAGGCAGCUUACUACGCAUAUAUUGACGCUGAUGCACGAAAGCGUGGGGAUCAAACAGG
Molecule: ribosomal RNA, 234 nt
Filed under: uncultured bacterium
Lineage: Bacteria
Description: partial 16S ribosomal RNA
Rfam family: Bacterial small subunit ribosomal RNA
Source: RNAcentral